CGCCCUUUUCUCUCGUCUUCUCGCCUGUGUGUAUGUCCUUUUUUUUCCCGCGCAAACAGGGCGCGCCGAGGGCAAAAGCGGCGAUGUCUCGAUGACGGUGACGGAGACAGCGGUGGGUGUGCAGGCACGGCUGCCCUUUUGUCCUUGGAGUCACCGGUUCAAAGGUCUCGCCUCGAUGUGUGACAUCUGACCGACGGGUCGCCCGCCGGCGACGCGGCAUCUGCCCCAAACAAAAGAAGGGAGGUCGGAAGAUCUCUUACGCCACAAUUUGACGGGCGCGCGCGCGCGUGUCCCUCGCCAGUGCCUGUCGCUGUGCACGCCUAUCAUGCCCAAAAAAGCGCGCAGCAAAAAAGGGGAGUGAGAGGCGCGUGGGGCAUUUUGGCCCGUCAUACCACAGCCCCUCACGGCAAAAGGCGCACAGCGCAACCCACAACAACGCCAACGGCGCCGUAACCUCGGCAGACUGACAAAGAAAAGAAACGAAUCGCUGGACCUUUUCAUUGGACGCUGCAUCCUUGGCUCCAAAAAAAUCCGUCCGCACAAC
This 544-nucleotide long non-coding RNA is filed under the name Pandoravirus neocaledonia. RNAcentral's name for it is "hypothetical ncRNA". The record is from RNAcentral.